Molecule: ribosomal RNA, 253 nt
Filed under: uncultured bacterium
Lineage: Bacteria
Description: partial 16S ribosomal RNA
Rfam family: Bacterial small subunit ribosomal RNA
Source: RNAcentral
UACGGAGGGUGCAAGCGUUAUCCGGAUUCACUGGGUUUAAAGGGUGCGUAGGUGGGCUGGUAAGUCAGUGGUGAAAUCCCCGAGCUUAACUUGGGAACUGCCAUUGAUACUAUCAGUCUUGAAUACCGUGGAGGUCAGCGGAAUAUGUCAUGUAGCGGUGAAAUGCUUAGAUAUGACAUAGAACCCCAAUUGCGAAGGCAGCUGGCUACACGAAUAUUGACACUGAGGCACGAAAGCGUGGGGAUCAAACAGG